Molecule: ribosomal RNA, 498 nt
Filed under: uncultured bacterium
Lineage: Bacteria
Description: partial 16S ribosomal RNA
Rfam family: Bacterial small subunit ribosomal RNA
Source: RNAcentral
AUUGAACGCUGGCGGCAUGCCUUACACAUGCAAGUCGAACGGUAACAGGUCUUCGGAUGCUGACGAGUGGCGAACGGGUGAGUAAUACAUCGGAACGUGCCUAGUAGUGGGGGAUAACUACUCGAAAGAGUGGCUAAUACCGCAUGAGAUCUACGGAUGAGAGCAGGGGAUCGCAAGACCUUGUGCUACUAGAGCGGCCGAUGGCAGAUUAGGUAGUUGGUGGGAUAAAAGCUUACCAAGCCGACGAUCUGUAGCUGGGCUGAGAGGACGAUCAGCCACACUGGGACUGGGACACGGCCCAGACUCCUACGGGAGGCAGCAGUGGGGAAUUUUGGACAAUGGGCGAAAGCCUGAUCCAGCAAUGCCGCGUGCAGGAUGAAGGCCUUCGGGUUGUAAACUGCUUUUGUACGGAACGAAAAGCCCCGGGUUAAUACCCUGGGGUCAUGACGGUACCGUAAGAAUAAGCACCGGCUAACUACGUGCCAGCCGCCGCAGUAA